RNAcentral lists this ribosomal RNA (200 nucleotides) under uncultured bacterium. Its description in RNAcentral is "partial 16S ribosomal RNA". It matches the Rfam family "Bacterial small subunit ribosomal RNA", at positions 8 to 212 of the family's 1533-position model. The record is from RNAcentral.
AGAGUUUGAUCCUGGCUCAGGAUAAACGCUGGCGGCGUGCCUAACACAUGCAAGUCGAACGCGCAGCAGAGGCAACUCUGGUGUGAGUGGCGGACGGGUGAGGAACACGUGGGUACCUGUCCCCUGGUGAGGAAUACCGGCGAGAAAUCGCCGACAAUACCGCAUAGGUUUGGAUGACUCCAAACAAAGCUCGGGCAACU